GGAGGGAGCGAGCGUUGUUCGGAAUCACUGGGCGUAAAGGGCGCGUAGGCGGCCGAGUAAGUCGUGUGUGAAAGACCGGGGCUCAACUCCGUGUACUGCAUGCGAUACUGCCCGGCUAGAGAAAGGUAGAGGCGAGUGGAAUUCCCGGUGUAGCGGUGGAAUGCGUAGAUAUCGGGAAGAACACCUGUGGCGAAGGCGGCUCGCUGGGCCUUUUCUGACGCUGAAGUGCGAAAGCGUGGGGAGCAAACAGGAUUAGAUACCCUGGUAGUCCACGCCGUAAACGAUGGGCACUAGGCGUUGGGAGGAUUGACCCUCUCAGUGCCGUAGCUAACGCGUUAAGUGCCCCCCGCCUGGGGAUACGGCCGCAAGGCUG
Molecule: ribosomal RNA, 373 nt
Filed under: uncultured organism
Description: partial 16S ribosomal RNA
Rfam family: Bacterial small subunit ribosomal RNA
Source: RNAcentral